GAGUUUGAUCAUGGCUCAGAGCGAACGCUGGCGGCAGGCCUAACACAUGCAAGUCGAACGAACUCUUCGGAGUUAGUGGCGGACGGGUGAGUAACACGUGGGAACGUGCCUUUUGGUUCGGAAUAACUCAGGGAAACUUGUGCUAAUACCGAAUGUGCCCUUGGGGAAAGAGUUAUCGCCAUUAGAGCGGCCCGCGUCUGAUUAGCUAGUUGGUUGAGGUUAAAGGCUCGACCAAGGCGACGAUCAGUAGCUGGUCUGAGAGGAUG
This 266-nucleotide ribosomal RNA is filed under the name uncultured microorganism. RNAcentral describes it as "partial 16S ribosomal RNA". It matches the Rfam family "Bacterial small subunit ribosomal RNA", at positions 9 to 302 of the family's 1533-position model. The record is from RNAcentral.